CAGAGAGUAGUGGAGCCAUGUAGAAUCCAUUGCAGAGAGUGGAGUAGGGUAGUGGUCGUUGUCGUGACCUGCUAGAGAGUUCAGAUCUGUCGACUGGAGCUUAGCUGGGAUGUCUGAUGGAGCGGAAUGGCUCUCUAUCCCAUCGAUCUAGGAGAAGCUCGGAUAUUUUCAAGGCUGCUGAUGAGUCUACUGUUGUCGGAUGCCUCAUGCACUGAUGCCACAGGUGGGAGUCAUCUACUGUAGAAGCUCGGAUGGAGACUUUCCAUUGGUGAAAUCCGGUAGGAGUCCGAUUGCUAGAGAAGUCCGUCUGGGAUUCACCUGAUGUGGAAGCUCGUCUGAAGAUUGUCCGUCGGAGAAGUCCGGUUUCAUGAAGAAUC
This 377-nucleotide long non-coding RNA is filed under the name Elaeis guineensis (African oil palm). RNAcentral describes it as "long non-coding RNA (EGUI_LNC052338)". The record is from RNAcentral. Lineage: Eukaryota; Viridiplantae; Streptophyta; Magnoliopsida; Arecales; Arecaceae.